Molecule: ribosomal RNA, 240 nt
Filed under: uncultured bacterium
Lineage: Bacteria
Description: partial 16S ribosomal RNA
Rfam family: Bacterial small subunit ribosomal RNA
Source: RNAcentral
CCGGAUGCGGAUCUCGAAAGCCUGUCCCAGUUCGGACUGGAGUCUGCAACCCGACUCCACGAAGUUGGAUUCGCUAGUAAUCGCGCAUCAGCCAUGGCGCGGUGAAUACGUUCCCGGGCCUUGUACACACCGCCCGUCAAGCCAUGGGAGCCGGUAAUACCCGAAGUCCGUAGCCUAACCGCAAGGAGGGCGCGGCCGAAGGUAGGACUGGUAAUUAGGGUGAAGUCGUAACAAGGUAGC